AUCUUUAUUUAAUGUGUUAAUUUUCAUAAAAUAUUUUAUUGUACUCCCAGUUGUUUUAAAUACAUUUAUUGCUUAUAUUUUUAUUUUUUUAAACUAUUCUUAUAAUAAUUAUUAAAGUAUUUAAUCAAAGACAAGAUGUUAGAUGAAUUAGCUUUAGAUUAUUCAGAAUACCUAAAAGUUGACAAUUCAACAGAAGUCAAUGCUUUAAAAGAUGUUAUUGAAGAUAUGCUUACAAGACUAGAAGAAUUUCAAACAUUCAUGGAAAUGGUUAGAGCUUUAAGAGCUGAAAGUACUAUGUUGCAUUAUGAUACUAUUAAAGGAAUGAAAUCUAAAGUAACUGAAUUAACAAAAACUGUGAAUAAUUUAGAAAAACUUGUAAAUAAAGUUGGUGAGGAUGUUGAAUUAGUUGAUCAACAAUUAACUGAAGCUGAAUCUUGUAUGCCCAUUAAUAAAGAGGGACCAUUAAAUACAAUUUUAAAACCAUUUUUUAAAAAACAAGACGACCAUUCUACUGUGAAACAGCUUUUAACAUAUGAGCCUCCAAUCAUAUUCAAAUCUGAUGAUUUUUUUGGAACAUGUGAUUCUUACCAGGAACCUGGAACAACAAAAUAAUUUUAAACACAAUUUUACAUAGAAUAAUUGAUUACUUCUAUGUUAUGAUCUUACUAAAGUUUUCUAUAAAGAAACAGUACAGUAAUGUUAUAAUCAAUGAGAACAAUAGAAACUUGUUUCCUUACUGAAUGAAUACUCUAUAUAUUUGUUUAAAAUUAGUAAUAUAAUUUUGAUAGAUACUGAAUUUUAUAGGACUAUUUAACAAAUUAAAUUGUUGACAUAGUAUUAUG
Daktulosphaira vitifoliae (grape phylloxera) is the source of this 842-nucleotide RNA transcript. It is a transcript of the gene named biogenesis of lysosome-related organelles complex 1 subunit 4, with no coding region annotated. The transcript has 5 exons. Lineage: Eukaryota; Metazoa; Arthropoda; Insecta; Hemiptera; Phylloxeridae. The record is from RefSeq and is a predicted model, not a curated record.